AUACGCUCUACGGAGGAAAGCCGGGGACCGCAAGGCCUGGCACUGAUAGAUGAGCCCGAGUCGGAUUAGCUAGUUGGCGGGGUAACGGCCCACCAAGGCGACGAUCCGUAGCUGGUCUGAGAGGACGAUCAGCCACACCGGAACUGAGACACGGUCCGGACUCCUACGGGAGGCAGCAGUGGGGAAUAUUGGACAAUGGGGGAAACCCUGAUCCAGCGACGCCGCGUGGGUGAAGAAGGCCUGCGGGUUGUAAAGCCCUUUCGGUAGGGAAGAAAUCUCUUGCUCUAACACGGCAGGAGUUUGACUUAACCUACAUAAGAAGCACCGGCUAACUCUGUGCCAGCAGCCGCGGUAAUACAGAGGGUGCGAGCGUUAAUUGGAAUUACUGGGCGUAAAGCGCACGUAGUCGGCUUGCCAAGUCGGGUGUGAAAUCCCCGGGCCCAACCUGGGAACUGCAUCCGAAACUGGCUUGCUAGAGUAUGGGAGAGGGAGGCGGAAUU
RNAcentral lists this ribosomal RNA (500 nucleotides) under uncultured bacterium. RNAcentral's name for it is "bacterial SSU rRNA". It matches the Rfam family "Bacterial small subunit ribosomal RNA", at positions 173 to 668 of the family's 1533-position model. The record is from RNAcentral.